Molecule: ribosomal RNA, 253 nt
Filed under: uncultured bacterium
Lineage: Bacteria
Description: partial 16S ribosomal RNA
Rfam family: Bacterial small subunit ribosomal RNA
Source: RNAcentral
UACGGAGGAUGCAAGCGUUAUCCGGAAUGAUUGGGCGUAAAGAGUCCGUAGGUGGUAUUACAAGUCUGUGGUUAAAGCGCGAAGCUCAACUUCGUAAGGGCCAUGGAAACUGUGAAACUAGAGUGGGAUAGGGGUAGAGGGAAUUCUCGGUGUAGCGGUGAAAUGCGUAGAUAUCGAGAAGAACACCGGUGGCGAAAGCGCUCUACUGGAUCUUAACUGACACUGAGGGACGAAAGCUAGGGGAGCGAAAGGG